Molecule: ribosomal RNA, 305 nt
Filed under: uncultured bacterium
Lineage: Bacteria
Description: bacterial SSU rRNA
Rfam family: Bacterial small subunit ribosomal RNA
Source: RNAcentral
CCUACGGGACGCAUCAUUUAUUAAUAUUGGUCAAUUUUCUCUCUCCUUCCCCAUCCAAGUAGCGUGAAGGAUGACUGCCCUACGGGUUGUAAACUUCUUUUAUAAAGGAAUAAAGUGAGGCACGUGUGCCUUUUUGUAUGUACUUUAUGAAUAAGGAUCGGCUAACUCCGUGCCAGCAGCCGCGGUAAUACGGAGGAUCCGAGCGUUAUCCGGAUUUAUUGGGUUUAAAGGGAGCGUAGAUGGGUUGUUAAGUCAGUUGUGAAAGUUUGCGGCUCAACCGUAAAAUUGCAGUUGAAACUGGCAGU